Molecule: unclassified non-coding RNA, 142 nt
Filed under: Fusarium oxysporum
Lineage: Eukaryota; Fungi; Ascomycota; Sordariomycetes; Hypocreales; Nectriaceae
Description: partial internal transcribed space 1
Source: RNAcentral
UUUACAACUCCCAAACCCCUGUGAACAUACCACUUGUUGCCUCGGCGGAUCAGCCCGCUCCCGGUAAAACGGGACGGCCCGCCAGAGGACCCCUAAACUCUGUUUCUAUAUGUAACUUCUGAGUAAAACCAUAAAUAAAUCA